This 205-nucleotide ribosomal RNA is filed under the name Acinetobacter baumannii. RNAcentral's name for it is "partial 16S ribosomal RNA". It matches the Rfam family "Bacterial small subunit ribosomal RNA", at positions 1329 to 1533 of the family's 1533-position model. RNAcentral also lists the same sequence under 3 other names. Lineage: Bacteria; Pseudomonadati; Pseudomonadota; Gammaproteobacteria; Moraxellales; Moraxellaceae. The record is from RNAcentral.
GAAUCGCUAGUAAUCGUAGAUCAGAAUGCUACGGUGAAUACGUUCCCGGGCCUUGUACACACCGCCCGUCACACCAUGGGAGUGGGUUGCAAAAGAAGUAGGUAGCUUAACCUUCGGGAGGGCGCUUACCACUUUGUGAUUCAUGACUGGGGUGAAGUCGUAACAAGGUAACCGUAGGGGAACCUGCGGUUGGAUCACCUCCUUA